AAGAUGUGAUAUAUAUGUGUAUCAACUCACCACAAUAAAUGUAAAAACUGACUCAAAAUACCCAUCGAGAGAGGAUUUUCUAAAAUAAAAAUGUACGCAUUAAAAUGGAAAUAUUGUCCAAAUAACUCUUUUGUUUUCCAUUCCCUGUGCGCUGAGGAAGAUUCAAUGACAUGAUAACCCCGAGAGCUGUGGUAAGAAGUUAUCUGCUACCUUCUGAGAGAGAUAAAAUAAAAUGCCUGUCUCUUCUCUGCACAUUGGGACUGCAUCAUUGAUGCACAGUGGAUAAAACAUUUCUGUUCCUACUUGGAGUGGUCGAAUAUUUAAUCCCCUACUGAAAAUACAGUGGAGAGAACAACCACCUGUGUUGCCCUGGACAGCUCCAGUUUGGACAGGGAGAGUCUUGCAUCUAAAGAAACUCAGAGGUGAACAGACGCAACUGGUCACUGCUGACAUCUGAGAUCGAUGUCUACUCCCCUCUGCGUGAAAGGCACACAUGAGGACACCAGAACGAUGCUGGGAAUGGUUUUCACACAGGUGCAGGUCCUCACCAGCAUCUUCUCGGGUGUCUGCAAACUCUGGACAAAAUACCAAAUAGGCCAACAGGCAAGAGAGAGAGAAAGAAGGAAAGAGAGAGACAUUAAGCAUUGACGGCUGGAGUCUGUAGUUCUCUUAAGCAGAACUGCUAAACUUCUGCUGAUGAUAUGAUACUCUACAUUGAAG
Molecule: long non-coding RNA, 720 nt
Filed under: Fukomys damarensis (Damara mole-rat)
Lineage: Eukaryota; Metazoa; Chordata; Mammalia; Rodentia; Bathyergidae
Description: lncRNA (ENSFDAG00000026090.1)
Source: RNAcentral